UACGUAGGGUGCGAGCGUUAAUCGGAAUUACUGGGCGUAAAGUGUGCGCAGGCGGCCGAGCAAGUCGAGUGUGAAAGCCCCGAGCUUAACUUGGGAACUGCGCUCGAAACUACUUGGCUGGAGUGUGGCAGAGGAAGGUGGAAUUCCACGUGUAGCGGUGAAAUGCGUAGAGAUGUGGAGGAACACCGAUGGCGAAGGCAGCCUUCUGGGCCAACACUGACGCUCAUGCACGAAAGCGUGGGGAGCAAACAGG
Molecule: ribosomal RNA, 253 nt
Filed under: uncultured bacterium
Lineage: Bacteria
Description: partial 16S ribosomal RNA
Rfam family: Bacterial small subunit ribosomal RNA
Source: RNAcentral